AGAGUUUGAUCAUGGCUCAGAUUGAACGCUGGCGGCAUGCCUUACACAUGCAAGUCGAACGGCAGCGCGGGGGCAACCCUGGCGGCGAGUGGCGAACGGGUGAGUAAUACAUCGGAACGUGUCCUGGAGUGGGGGAUAGCCCGGCGAAAGCCGGAUUAAUACCGCAUACGAUCCUGGGAUGAAAGCGGGGGACCGAAAGGCCUCGCGCUCAAGGGGCGGCCGAUGGCAGAUUAGCUAGUUGGUGGGGUAAAGGCCUACCAAGGCGACGAUCUGUAGCUGGUCUGAGAGGACGACCAGCCACACUGGGACUGAGACACGGCCCAGACUCCUACGGGAGGCAGCAGUGGGGAAUUUUGGACAAUGGGGGCAACCCUGAUCCAGCAAUGCCGCGUGUGUGAAGAAGGCCUUCGGGUUGUAAAGCACUUUUGUCCGGAAAGAAAACUUCCGCCCUAAUACGGUGGGGGGAUGACGGUACCGGAAGAAUAAGCACCGGCUAACUACGUGCCAGCAGCCGCGGUAAUACGUAGGGUGCAAGCGUUAAUCGGAAUUACUGGGCGUAAAGCGUGCGCAGGCGGUUCGCUAAGACCGAUGUGAAAUCCCCGGGCUUAACCUGGGAACUGCAUUGGUGACUGGCGGGCUAGAGUAUGGCAGAGGGGGGUAGAAUUCCACGUAGCAGUGAAAUGCGUAGAGAUGUGGAGGAAUACCGAUGGCGAAGGCAGCCCCCUGGGCCAAUACUGACGCUCAUGCACGAAAGCGUGGGGAGCAAACAGGAUUAGAUACCCUAGUAGUCC
RNAcentral lists this ribosomal RNA (791 nucleotides) under uncultured bacterium. Its description in RNAcentral is "bacterial SSU rRNA". It matches the Rfam family "Bacterial small subunit ribosomal RNA", at positions 8 to 796 of the family's 1533-position model. The record is from RNAcentral.